CUCGUCCCGGGGCUUGCCCUGGCUCCUUGUUUACUUCGCUUCUUAUCUUUGGGAGACUGCUUGGUUGAUUAAGGGGACAUUAUUAGGGUCCCUAUUAUGUUCUCUGAGCCUCAGCAGUAAAUCCCCAAGUCUAGGGGCAGCAUGGCAUAGGAUGAAGAACAUGGGCUUUGGCACCAGGGCGAGUCUGAAUCCUACCUCCUCCCCUUACCAGCCCUGUGACUGGGAAGUGACCUGCCUCUUUGAGCCCCUUACUGCUUGUGUGCUGUGAGACGAAGACUCUCAACUAGAUUCAAUAAAGGGCUCACGGCAGGAUCUCAUGCAUUCAACCAGGAGCGCCUGCUAUAUGCCAGGCACCGUCCCAGGCACUGGGCAUUCACUGGCAAAGAAAACAGCUGGAAAGGCCUGUCCUCGUGAAGCUGGAAUUUAGGGAGGGGCAUACAGUCAACAGGAAGCUGCAGAGUACGAUGAGGCUCAUAGAGAAAUGCACGAGAGAUGUGGGCUGGCAAUUCCUGGGUGCACAGAGGCUGGACCACAUGGCUGUGGCCCCAGCCAAAGACCUGGAUCCAGCCAGGCCUCUGCGUGGUCCUGGGGGGCUAGGAUGGAGGCGCCCAGCAGGACCUUCCAUGUCCCCACAUUUGCCUUCCACGGCGAUGACCCAGGAGGAGCAAAGGCCACACCACCUG
Sciurus carolinensis (gray squirrel) is the source of this 683-nucleotide long non-coding RNA. RefSeq lists it as uncharacterized. The transcript has 3 exons. The record is from RefSeq and is a predicted model, not a curated record. NCBI's taxonomy places the organism in Eukaryota, Metazoa, Chordata, Mammalia, Rodentia, Sciuridae.